This 1054-nucleotide ribosomal RNA is filed under the name uncultured Thermotogales bacterium. Its description in RNAcentral is "bacterial SSU rRNA". It matches the Rfam family "Bacterial small subunit ribosomal RNA", at positions 8 to 1028 of the family's 1533-position model. Lineage: Bacteria; Thermotogati; Thermotogota; Thermotogae; Thermotogales. The record is from RNAcentral.
AGAGUUUGAUCAUGGCUCAGGGUGAACGCUGGCGGCGUGCCUUACACAUGCAAGUCGAGCGAAGCUGCUAACUGGAGUCCUUUGGGAUGAAAGUUAGUAGACUGAGCGGCGGACGGGUGAGUAACGCGUAGGUGACCUACCCUUCAGAGGGGGAUAACUGUGGGAAACUGCAGCUAAUACCCCAUACGUUCCGGAGGUUACGAUUUCCGGAAGAAAGGGGCGUAAAGCUCUGCUGAGGGAUGGGCCUGCGUUCCAUCAGGUAGUUGGUGAGGUAAAGGCUCACCAAGCCGACGACGGAUAGCCGGUCUGAGAGGAUGGCCGGCCACAAGGGCACUGAGACACGGGUCCUACUCCUACGGGAGGCAGCAGUGGGGGAUAUUGGACAAUGGGCGGAAGCCUGAUCCAGCGACGCCKYKUGNCGGGAAGGAGCCCUUCGGGGUGUAAACCGCUGUGGUGGGAGACGAAUAAGGUAAGGAGUGGAAAGUCUUACCGAUGACGGUAUCCCACUAGGAAGCCCCGGCUAACUACGUGCCAGCAGCCGCGGUAAUACGUAGGGGGCGAGCGUUACCCGGAUUUACUGGGCGUAAAGGGGGCGUAGGCGGUCGUGGAAGUCCGGUGUGAAAGGCCACGGCUCAACUGUGGAACUGCGCUGGAAACCACGCGACUUGAGGGCGGUAGAGGGAGACNGAACUGCUGGUGUAGGGGUGAAAUCCGUAGAUAUCAGCARGAACGCCGGUGGGGAAGCCGGUCUCCUGGGCCGCGCCUGACGCUGAGGCCCGAAAGCUAGGGGAGCGAACCGGAUUARAUACCCGGGUAGUCCUAGCCGUAAACGAUGCCCACUAGGUGUGGGGGAGUGAUUCCUCCGUGCUGAAGCGAACGCGAUAAGUGGGCCGCCUGGGGAGUAUGCCCSCAAGGGUGAAACUCAAAGGAAUUGACGGGACCCCGCACAAGCGGUGGAGCGUGUGGUUUAAUUGGACGCURAGCCAAGAACCUUACCAGGGCUUGACAUGCUGGUGGUACUGACCCGAAAGGGGAGGGACUCUCGCCGAGAGGU